This 445-nucleotide ribosomal RNA is filed under the name uncultured bacterium. RNAcentral describes it as "partial 16S ribosomal RNA". It matches the Rfam family "Bacterial small subunit ribosomal RNA", at positions 354 to 796 of the family's 1533-position model. The record is from RNAcentral.
GUAGGGAAUAUUGGGCAAUGGAUGCAAGUCUGACCCAGCCAUCCCGCGUGCCGGAAGAAGGCCCUCAGGGUUGUAAACGGCUUUUGACGGUGAAGAAUCGACAGGAUGCGUCCUGUUUUGACGGUAGCCGUUGAAUAAGCACCGGCUAACUCCGUGCCAGCAGCCGCGGUAAUACGGAGGGUGCGAGCGUUGUCCGGAUGUAUUGGGUUUAAAGGGUGCGUAGGCUGGAAGGUCAGUCAGCGGUGAAAAGCUGUCGCUUAACGAUAGUCUUGCCGCAGAUACUUCCUUUCUUGGAUGAGGAGGAGGCCACUGGAACGGAUGGUGUAGCGGUGAAAUGCAUAGAUAUCAUCCAGAACACCGAUUGCGAAGGCAGGUGGCUGUACCUUAAUCGACGCUGAUGCACGAAAGCAUGGGGAGCAAACAGGAUUAGAAACCCCUGUAGUCC